CUUGGUGGCUAUUGUGGAAGUGUAACACCCGUUCCCAUCCCGAACACGGAAGUUAAGCCUUCUUACGUCGAUGAUACUGCCCCUCUAAGAGGCGGGAAAGUAGAUAGUUGCCAAGC
Molecule: ribosomal RNA, 116 nt
Filed under: Treponema sp.
Lineage: Bacteria; Pseudomonadati; Spirochaetota; Spirochaetia; Treponematales; Treponemataceae
Source: RNAcentral